Molecule: ribosomal RNA, 510 nt
Filed under: uncultured bacterium
Lineage: Bacteria
Description: bacterial SSU rRNA
Rfam family: Bacterial small subunit ribosomal RNA
Source: RNAcentral
CUACGUGCCAGCAGCCGCGGUAAUACGUAGGUGGCAAGCGUUGUCCGGAAUUAUUGGGCGUAAAGGGCGCGCAGGCGGCUUCUUAAGUCUGUCUUAAAAGUGCGGGGCUUAACCCCGUGAUGGGAUGGAAACUGGGAAGCUCAGAGUAUCGGAGAGGAAAGCGGAAUUCCUAGUGUAGCGGUGAAAUGCGUAGAUAUUAGGAGGAACACCAGUGGCGAAAGCGGCUUUCUGGACGAAAACUGACGCUGAGGCGCGAAAGCCAGGGGAGCGAACGGGAUUAGAUACCCCGGUAGUCCUGGCCGUAAACGAUGGGUACUAGGUGUAGGAGGUAUCGACCCCUUCUGUGCCGGAGUUAACGCAAUAAGUACCCCGCCUGGGGAGUACGACCGCAAGGUUGAAACUCAAAGGAAUUGACGGGGGCCCGCACAAGCGGUGGAGUAUGUGGUUUAAUUCGACGCAACGCGAAGAACCUUACCAGGUCUUGACAUUGAUGGACAGAACUAGAGAUAG